CGGAAAUAAUACUAAACCUCAAAUUAAACCAUUACACUAUUAUAAUAAAACUCAACAGUACAGUAGCCAACACUUCCCCAAAACCUGGUGGAACAGAGUCAUAAGCUUUACAAGAAAGUACUAAUAAUAUGAUACUAUUUUGGGACAAGAAAUAAACAGUAGAAAGUCUAAAAAAUAGAAGAUGACUCCAAGGCCUGCGGGCACCGGGCAGGUAUACCUUGAAUUCUCCGGAAGACAGCUAACAAGUCAAUCAUUAACGUCCAACACCGGCAGAUGGACCUGGAUCUGUACAAAAGAUGUGUAGAAGCGUAGUAUGAGUACACCAUAACGGUACCCAGUAAGUAUCAAUCCUAACCUAGGUAGAGUAGUGACGAGGAUAAGUCAAGACACCUACUAGGACAUAAUAAAUAGAACAAAAAUAUAAUAACGAGAAGUAAUGAAAACGGAGAAAUGAAUGAUAACAAAGCAAUCUGGUAACGUAAACUAAUGACAGAAUUGUAAGCAGAAAGACAACAAGAAGGGCACAAUUAAUGAGAACCUCAAAUAAUCAAAUGCGGACAAACUAUUAUGACAAGGAAACAUAAAAACAACAAGAACGCUUCAACCAAUAACUCUUUUCGAUGUGAAGUGCAAAACAAGAAUCACAUCCGAGGUACUGUCUCGUGUUCAUGUUUCACAAUUUUAAUCACUAUCUUUCCUUAUAUCAUUGCGGGAGCCUCACAUUUAGUUUUGAAAAUCAUUAUUCCCGAAAUAGCUACCCGCAUUUUAGCCCACCUAAUCACACUGCGUGGCUUCAAGUAGUUCCCCUACUAGCAACACGCGUAUCAAGCCCACCUUAUCUCAGUGCAUGCGUAUCAACCCCUAGCCUUAUACCACCGCAUGCGUAUCAAUAUCACAACUCGCACCACAAGUGCCCAUAUGCCACAAACUUGCCAAAAGAAUCAACAAUAUCAAUGUUUUCACAAGAAAUAGCCCAUGGCUCAACCACAAUGUGCACAAGAAUCUCAAUAAUAACAAAAUGAAAGUGAAUUUCUCAACAAGAAAGAUAUCUCAACAAUUAACAACCUCACCUUAAUAUGAUAACGACUUUCUCAACUUUAACACCAAUAAAUCAACAAUAAGAUAUUUCACGAAAUAACAACUUCAAUUACAAUUAAUUCAAUAAAUUUAAAUGAAACAAGGCAAUAACUUCAACUAAGCAUAUGAGAGAAAAAUGACAAGUAAGAGGUAGAACAAGUGUUAACAAUGUCAUAUAAAGCAUGUAAGGGUAGAUUAAUACAUGUAAGAGUUAAUUAACAAUGAGGGAUGUAACAUGUUAUGGCAAUUCAAUUAAAGGCAUGAAAAGAGUCUAAAUAACCUAAACCGGUCAAAUACCACAUAUAAUCCGUGUACGCACUCAUCACCUUGCAUACACGGCUUUCACAUAACAUAAAUAUAAUAAUAAAUCCCAAAUCCUAAGGGGUAGUUCCCCCACACAAAGUUAGGUAAGAUACUUACCUCAACUAGGCCAACUCAACCCUCGAAAAUAGCUUUUCCCCUAAAAUUCGCUUCCACAUGGCUCAAAUCCAACCAAAAUUGACUUAAUAUCAUCAACCAAUGCAAGGGAAACAAUUAAAAUAGAUAAAGCUAUGAUCUUUACACUUUUUUCAAAAAGUCAACAAAAGUCAACCCUAGGCUCGUACGAUCAAAACCUGGGUCCAAUGGUAGAUUCCGAUCACCCAUAACCCACGAGUCCAUAUAUGUGAUUAGUUUCAAUAUCCGAGUCCAAAUAGACUCUCAAAUUCUCAUUUUUCAAAAACUUGGCAAACUUUCCCAAUUUUUUCUCUUUGAUUCACAUAAAUUUGAUGUUAAAUAUAAGACAUAUUCAUGAAAUAUAUUUGGAAAUUGAUUAGAAUCACUUACCCAAUAUUUGUAGAUUAACCCCCCCCCCCCUCUCCAGAUCGCCUCCUACCGAGUCUAGGGUUCUAAAAUAUGAGAAAUGAGACUAAAUCCUGACUUUCCAGCCCUUAUGUUCAGCUGCAGAUGUCACAUUUGCGACAAUGUGAACCCUCACAAUUGUUGACCAGGGAUCACAUAUGCUAACCCUGAUAGCCUCAACAAACAUCACAAUUGCGACAAAGGCUUCGCAAUUGCGAAGCUGGAUAGCUUUGCAAAAGCGACCAAGUGGUCCAGAAUGCGACUCAUGCCCCAGGCCUACUAACUUCACAAAUGCGAAGGGGUAAGUCACAAUUGCGACAUCAAACCACCCCCGAUCACCUUCGCAAUUGCGACAACAAAGCACUAGCACACCAGCACACCAACAAUUCUUUUUUCCAUUCAAACCAUUCUGAAUCACGUCCGAAACUCAUCCAAGCCCUCGGGGCUCCAAACUAAACAUCCACACAAGUCUAAUAACAUCAUACGAACUCGCUCGCAUGAUCAAAAUACAAGAUCACAUCUAGUAAACUUCAAGAACAUCUAGAAUUGCAACCAAGCGUCUGAAUCCUACCAAAUCAACUCCAAUUGAUACCAAAUUUUGCAGACAAGUUCUAAAUAGCAUAACAGACCUAUUCCACGUCCAAAAAUCCAAUUCUAAACCUGAUAGCCAAAAGUCAACCUACAUUCAAACUUCUAAACCCGAGGGCCACUGAUUAGCAUCGCCAGAUAACUCAUCAAUAAUUGUAACUAUCUCCUUUGGAGUCUUCUUCAUCAAUGGGCCUCCAGAUGCAUUGCUCAAUGUUCUACAUGAGGCCGAUGUCAAUCCAUCUCAAAAGUCCUGUAGUUGCAUCCAAAGUUCAAUUCCAUUAUGUUGACACUUUCUAACUAUCUCCUUAAACCUCUACCAUGCUUUGAUAAUAGUCUCGGUCUCUUUCUGGCAGAAGUUAUGGAUUUCUCUUCUAAACUUGCCCAUUUUAGCUCAGGAGAAAUAUUUAUCAAGAAAUUUUCUGGUCAUCUCCUCCCAUGUUCUAAUUGACACCGUGGGUAAGCUUCGAAGCCACUGCUUUGCAUCAUCUUUGAGUGUGAAGGGGAAUGCCCUUAAGUAUACUGCGUCUUGUGACACACCAUUGUAUUGAAAGGUGUUCAUAAUCUCCUUGAAGUCUAUUAGAUAUGUAUUUGGAUCUUUUUUCAUCUUCCCUUUGAAAACAUAGCAAUUCUGAAGGGUUUGAAGCAACCCUUGCUUCAAUUCGAAAUUGUUAGCUGCACUUGGAGGUGCUCUCACACUUGAUAAGCCUUGAUUGUAGAUCGGUCUAGAAUGAUGCCCAGUGAUCUCCCAGGCAUGGGAGCUAUAUUUCCGAACUGGUCUGCAGCCAAGGGUUGAUUUUGAGCAAUUCUCUCACCCCUCUCUCCUUCAUAGAUAAUUUAUGCUUCUCUGAUAGCUGCUUCCUCAGCAUCCCGUGCAGCUUUUUCUCAUUGUUAGGCUGCCUCUCUUGCAGCCAAAUCUACAUUAUCAUCACCGUUUCCCGUCAUAAUUUCCUUGGUUGAGGAUUGCCCAACCCUUUCUAAUGUCUCGGUGAGAUUUAUUGCCUUCCUCAGCUAUAACGAUUAUUUUUCUAUCUCUGGCUUGUAUGGUAUCACUUCUUUCGCAUAAGCUCGAGUCAUGCACCAACCUUAACCUAUAACCUGCGCACAACCAAAGAACACUAAAUGUAAAAAGAGAAAAUAGAAAUAAAAAGAAAAAAAGUCGUGAAUUUGCACUACAAUCUAUUUCAAACAAUAUUGAUUGCCAAUCCCCGGCAACGGUGCCAAAAUUUGACGAGUGCAAAACACACCCUUAAAUUCUUCUCGCUAAUCAAAUAUAGUAUAGUAUAAUAUUGUAUCUACAGGGAUUGGAUUUAAAUAGUAUUCUCGUAGUUUCUAGCUUGGUUGCUAUCCAAGAUGAUCAAAAAUUGAGAUUUAUAAGAUGUCUAACUAAAAUUAACUAAGAAUCUAAACCUAUUGACUAAUGACAAUCGAAACAAGGAAUAAGCAAAUAAAGUUAUCAAUGGGAGAAGAUAGGGUUUUGAUAGAAUAGAUGCAAGAUAAUUGUUUGGGAUCUAACUCUAGAUAAUUCAUUUCUAAUGUUCAAGUGACUCUCUCGAAUUCACUCAAUUAGUAGAUCAAACGUUAGGAAAAACUCCUCUCUCGAUUAAGUCUUAACCUCAAAAGAUGAACCAAUUUAAGCACGCGAAGAUAUGCAAGAAUACGUAAUGGAUUGGUCUUUAGGAGAACCUCUUUCGAUUAUUCGCCUAACUAGGUUUAAUAAAUGAUUCAACUAGCCUCUUUCAAUUACUUAGAAGAAUCUAUGAACUCAACCAAUAAUAUAAUGCAAAGAUAUCACAAAUUAUGCCUCUCUCGAUUACAUGAAUAAGUGAUUAUAGAUGCAAUAAUUAAUUCAUCCAAAAAAUGAUUCAAUACAUAAACUAGAGUUAUAAUCCACAAACAAUCAUCAAUAUACCAAAUCCAUCAAACCCUAAAAAGAACUACUCCAUAGAUAUGGAGGAAUUCAUCACAGAUAAAAUUAAAUUAUAGAAAACAUAAAUUCAAUCCAUACACGGGUCUUGAGUGAGGAAGGAAUGAUGAAAUCCUUAUGCUUGUGUUCUUCCAACUCCGACUUAGCCUUCUCAGGUCCAAAGUAUGUCGAAAGUCCCAAACAUAACAUUUUUUCCAUGUAUUUAUACUAAGUAGGGUUGGGCCCAAAUGAAACCACCUUCUCCUAGCCGAAAUAGGAUAUUGGCUCUGUAAAAAAUACACAGGUGUGUCGCAUGGGGCGACGCGCCAUGCGGGGCAUUAGUGGGGAAAUCUAGAGAGCUCAACAAUUGACAGGCAGUAGGAAAUAGGCAGUUGCAGCGCCCCACAUGCCACGACAGUGGGGUUUUCUCAGAGUACGACUUAAACUUCGAUUUUUGAUGUCUAGACUUGGUUCUCGACCCCCGAACACAAUCCCAGCUUAAUCCCUUGGGCUUUUACUCUGACUUCAAAGCUCCAAAUUGCUCGAAUUCAUUCUAUAAUAUCUACAUAGCUCGGGAUCACUCCUAUAAGGAAUAGAAAACACAGUUUGUGCAAAACACUAUUAAUUAAAGCUCAAACACAAGUAAAGUGCAGUGAAUUAGAGUGCAAUAAACAACUAAACACGAGAUUAUAGUCUACCAUCAACAUCCGCAUGGUACCAUCCUUCUUCUUCACAAACAGAACCGGUGCACCCUAAGGCGACACACUAGGCCUAAUGAACCCCUUAUCAAGAAGCUCUUGAAGUUUCUCUUUCAAUUCUUUCAACUUUGCUGGUGCCAUACGAUACAGAGGAAUAGAAAUUGGCUGAGUGCCCCGUACCAAGUCAAUGCCAAAAUCAAUGUCCCUUUUGCGUGGCAUGCCCGGAAGGUCUGUAGGUAACACAUCCGGAAAGUCCCGCACUACCGGAAUAGAAUGAAUGGUAUGAGUAUCAGUACAAACAUCCCUCACAAAGACCAAAUAUGACAAACACCCCUUCCCAACCAUCCAUUGGGCCUUCAGAUAUGAAAUCACCCUACUGGAAACAUAGUCCAGAGAACCUCUCCACUCGAUCCUAGGUAACUCAGGUAUCGCCAACGUCACGGUCUUAGCGUGACAAUCCAGAAUAGCAUGACAUAGGGACAACCAAUCCAUGUCCAGAAUCACAUCAAAAUCAACCAUACUAAGCAAUAAGAGAUCAACUCUAGUAUCCAAUCCCUCAACGGUAACCACACAUGACCGAUACACUCGGUCCAAAAUAAUAGAAUCGCCCGCCGACGUAGAUACAUGAACAUGCGAAACUAAGGACUCACGGGGCAUAUCCAAAUAUUAGCAAAAUACAAUGAUCAUAUGAAUAAGUGGCACCAGGGUCAAAUAAUAUCGAAGCAUCCCUGUAGCAUACUGAGACAAUAUCUAUGAUCAUUGCGUCUGAAGCAAUAGUCUCUGGCCUAGUAGGGAAAGCAUAGCAUCGAGCCUGACCGCCACCAGACCAGCCUUCCCCUUUAGGGCAACCAGUAGCUGCCUGAGCCCCACCUCGAGCUAGCUGAGCGAGUGGUGAAGUAACUAGUGCGAAAGUCAUAACCUGACCCCUCUGCUGAACUGGACCUCCAAAAUGAUAGGGACACUAACUCCACACAUGUCCAAACUCCCUGCACUCGAAGUAGCUCUGAUCCGCCAAUGGUGGUGGAGACUGAAUCGAACCAUGAGAACCAGUAUAGCUACUAGAAGAAUCCGGUACAGAUGACCCUUGAACUGAUGGAGCACGGGAUGAACUCAGAGCUGGGAGGGAACUAAGAGAUGACUGACCCGGACGAGCACUCUAUGAACCAUGGCUAGCCGAUGCACCACGAUGAACCGGACGAGCCAUUUGAGCGGGCCUAUAAGGAUGACCCCUAUUGUGGUGGAACUUCCCUCCAGAAGAAACACCGCUGAAACCACCCGAACCACGAGGCCUCUUGGCCUCCCUCUCCUCAUGCUCCUGACUAUGGACCUACUUUAGUCGCCUAACAAUAUCAACUACCUCAUCAAACCUAACACCUGAUGCAAUCUCUCGAGUCAUGAUGAAGCGCAGUCGAUAGUUGAGGCCAUCAAUGAACCUCCUAAUCCUCUCCCUCUCUAUGGGAACCAACUCGAUCGUGUGAUGAGCCAACUAUGAAAAUCUCAUCUCAUACUAGGUCACGGAUAUACCCUCUUGGCGUAGCUUCUUAAACUGCCUAUGUAACUCCUAUAUGCGGGUCUGUGGAACAAACUUCUUUAAGAAGAGAACUAAGAAAUCAUGCCACGUAAGUGGUGUAGUGCUGGCUGUCCUGCUCAACUCAUAGGCCUCCCACCAUCUGAAGGCUACCCCCGAUAGCUGAAAAGUAGUAACUGAGACUCCACUAGUCUCCAGAAUACCCGCUGUGUGAAGGAUCCACUGGCACCUGUCUAAGAAAUCUUGAGCAUCCUCUGACUCAGCCCCACUGAAUGUUGGAAGCCUGAGCCUCCCAAACUGCUCUAGCCUCUUUUGCUCCCCGUCACUCAUAGGUGGACCCACCUGGGCCUGAGAAACUAUAACCGGCUGGGCUGGUAGUACCCCUGAUGUCUGAAGUCCCUAAACCACCUGCUCUAGAGUACGGGCGAAGGGAGUAUGAGCACCUCCCCCGGCCUGAGAAGUGGCUAGUACAGCCUAAACUGAAACCGCCUGAGCAAGGCUAAUGCAUAAAGUCAAUAUCUGGGCCAAAGUUUCCCGAUGGCCUGGAAUCACAAUGGGCACAGCUGGUACUUGAGCAUGUCUCACCGGCUCAACUACAGAUGGUAUCUACUCCUAAGCUGGAGCAACUGGUGGCUCCACAGGUGCUGCUCUAGCUGCUGUAUGAGCGGCACCUCAGCCUCUACCAUGACCCCAGUCUCUCGUGGCCCUAGCUGAUGGUAUUGGUGGCCAUUUGCCUGAUCCGGUAGCGCGUUUCCGCACCAUAUGUGAGAGAAUAGAGUAAUAGAAGUUUAGUUUCCGAAAUCAACAAAUCCGCAAGGCAAGAAUACACGAGUGAAGUUUCCUAAUGAUUCGGUAGCCUCUCGAAGAUAAUUACAGACGUUCCUAUACCGAUCCGCAAGACUCUACUAAACCUGCUCAUGACUCAUGAGACCUAUGUAACCUAGGCUCUGUUACCAACUUUUCAUGACCCAAAUCUCAACAUGUCGUGAUGACGCCUAUCACAGUACUAGGCAGGCCAAGAAUCACAAAAUAACUACUCAUUUUGAAUUAAAAUCAUGAUGUAAUAAGUUUAAUUGUAAAAAUCUCAUAAAUAACCGAUAGGAACAACCGCGACUCAACUACAAAAUCCCCAAAAUAUGGGUAUCACCGAGUACAUGAGCUAUUAAAUGUCAACAUAGUCAAAAACUUCUAAUAUAAUUGUCUGGAAAGAUAGAACAGUGCUAAAUAAACUGAAAAGAAGGAGAGUUGAGGUCUACGGAUCCCAUAGCAGCUACCUCACUAGUCUCCAAGCAGGUAAUGCUCCAAGUCUUGCAACCACCGGGUCCAGAUGCACCUGUAUCUGCACACAGAGUGUAAUAUGAGUACAACCGACCCAGUGUACUCAAUAAGUAAUAGGACUAACCUUGGGCUGAAAGCAGUGACGAGCUAAAAAAGGUACAAUCCAAAUACAGAUAACAAAAAUACAGAUAUAACAUGAAAAUGACAGUAAUGACUCAGAGAAAUUUCAUAAUCAGUUUAUACAUAGUACAAAAAUAUAGACAUGCUUUCAAGUUCAACAGUUUAGGCUCAAUACUGAUAAAAUAUGCCAAGUAUAACUAGCAAAAGGAAUGUUACAUCUCUAUGUCUACAUGUCAAAUAUGCAUGUCAACUGUAAUGCAACAUAGUGAUAAAUUCAUAUACUCAUACUCUCGGAGUAUUCAACCUCACUCAGCACGCUCAAUCACUCAGUACUCCCAAUCACUCAACACUCUCAAUCACUCAGCACUCGCACUCGGCACUCGAACGGUACCUGUGCUCACUGCUGGUAUGUCAGAAUCAGGAGGGACGAAUCCUGCCAAAGCGCUAAUAUAAGCCAACAUGGCAUGCUACGGCGUGUAACCCAAUCCCAUCAUGAAUCAAUAAAGUCUGCUACGGCGUGCAGUCCGAUCCCAUAAAUAUCACUCACACUCAGGCCCUCGGCCUCAACUCAGGCAUCAAUCUCUCCACUCUCUCGAGCUCACAAAUCUCGUGCAAAUCAGCCCAAAUAAUGAUACAUGAUGUAACAAUAAAUGAAAACAGAAACUGAGAUAUGAUAUUCAAAUGUUGAAUGUGUCUGCGUACAUAAUUACAAUUUAAACAAAUAACUCAAAAUCAUAAAAGACCUCGAUGGGUCCCAACAGUAUCAGCAUAUAGCCCAAACACGAUUUCUAGCAUGGAUCACAGCUCAAUUUCUCUAACACAUGGAGGUUUCAUGAAUAACAACAAGAUUUGAUAAUUACACAGUACCACAAAAUCAACCGAAUCACAAUUACCAAGGUGCCCGCACGCCCAUCACCUAGCAUGUGCAUCACCUCAACACCAAUCACAUAACACGUAGUUCACAAAUUCAUACCCUCAGUACAAAGUUUAGAAGUAUUACUUACCUCAAACCGUGCAAAUAAUAACUCCAACAAGCCAUUGCCUCGUGAUUCAGCCCCCGAACGACUCGAAUCUGGCCACAAACAACUUAAUAUAAUCAAUGCAAGCUAUAGGAUUUGAUUCCAUACGAUAAAGCUAAGUUCUUUAACCAAAGUCAACAAGUCAACCCAAAAAGUCAACCACAAUCCCAUGUCUCGGAAUCCAACUAAAUUUAUAAAAUCCGAACACUCAUUUAAUAAUGAGUCCAACCAUACUAAAAUCAUCCAAUUCUGACCUCAAAUCGCCUUUCAAAUCCUCAAAAUAUAGUUUAUGAUGUUUCAACAAUUUUUCCCAAUUUUUCCAACCCAAAAUGCUAAUUAAAUGGUAAAAACAAUGAUAGAUUCAUGUAUAUUAACCAAAUCCGAGUUAGAAUCACUUACCCUAAUCAAUUCCUUGAAAAUCCCUUCAAGAACCGCCUCAAUCCGAGCUCCCGAAGUCUAAAUGUGAAAUAAUACUCUAACCCUCAUUUUUAAAAUUAAAUAUCUGCUGCCCAGACGUCCUUCUUCGUGAACGCGGAAAGUGCCUCGCGUUCGCGAAGCAAAAAAUCCUCAACUGCCCAAAAUCCUCUUAUGUGAAUGCGAGACCUCCCUCACGAUCACGAUGACCAAUGAUCCCUUGACUAUGCGAACGCGAACCAACUCCCGCAAACACGACAAGCCUGGUGCCCAACCUGCCUCAUCCUUCUACGCGAACGCGAGUCCUCUCUCGCGAUCAAGAUGCACAAACCCCUUAUACCUUCGCGAACGUGAAGCACAAACUUCCCUAGUCAACCAGAUACAAUUCACGAAUGCGAACAAGGAAACCAAACACCAGAAAUUCUACAUCUCAAAAAGGCCAAACUCAAUCCGCAAUCAAUCCGAAACUCACCCGAGACCCCUGGGACCCCAUCCAAAAAUAACAACAAGUCCUAAAACACGAUACGAACUUAAUCGAGGCCUUAAAUCACAUCAAAUAACAUCAAAAAUAUGAAUCGCACACCAAUUCAAGCCUAAUGGAACUAAUGGAUUUCCAAUGUCUACACUCGAUGCAGAAACCUAUCAAACCAACUCCGAUUGACCUCAAAUUUUGCACACAAGUCAUAAAUUAUACAACGGACCUAUUCUAAUUUUUGGAACCAAAAUUCGAGCUCAGUAACCACAAAGUCAACUCUCGGUCAAACUUCUCAACUCUCCAAACUUCAACUUUUCCAACUUUCGCCAUUUCAAGCCAAAAUCACCAACGGACCUCCAAAUCAAUAUCCAGACACACUCCUAAGUCCAAAAUCACCAUACAGGGCUAUCAGAACCAUCAAAACUCCAUUCUGGAGUCAUUUACACGUAAGUCAAUAUCCGGUCUAACUCUUCCAACUUAGACUUCCACCCUUGGGACUAAGUAUCCCAAUUCAUUCCGAAACAUCUCCGAAACCAAUCCAACCACCCCGGCAAGUCAUAUAAUAACAAACGAAUAUAAAAUAAGCGAUAAAUGGGAAAAUUAGGCUAAAAUACUCAAAAUAAGCGGCGAGCUCAUUACAUCAACAGAUUUUUAACAAAGAUUAGAAUAACAAAAAUUUCAUCACGAAAACUAUGACAGUAGCAAAAUGAGCGGGAAGGACUUCCCCUGAAAACUAUAUAGGUUGCCAGAAAAUUAUAGGCACAAGAUUUAUUGUCAAAAAAAUGAUAGUAAACAUUCAGGAAUCCGACAAUAAUGAUCGACAACAGUGGACUAUUGGCGUUACUUUGAUGAGGAAUUCCGGAACAACACCUAACCUCAAAAAUACGUCGCUGGCAUUUAUUUUUUUCCGGCCAAAGCUCGAAGGCAGCAAGGAGCGAGAUAUGGUCGCUAGUGAAGGUCAUUUUUUCCAACCAGAUCUAUAUAUUUUUAGUUAGAUCUGAGUGAACCAUAACAGUCACCGGAAAAGCUAUAAGCAAAUGGAGAUGAAGAUGGUCAGUGAUGUAGAGGGAGGUCACCGGCCCGGGGGUCAAAUCCGACGGUGGAGUUACAACAUCGUGGGGAAGGGGGGCUGGGCGUGUUUUCUCAAAGUUGAGAGAAAUCAGAUGGAAGAUAAAAGGGGGAGGCCUCUGAAAAUGGAGCUAAUGAGGGGAAUGGACAGCCUCAGGCAAAAAUGAGGGAGAGAGAUUAUUUGUUUUGGUGGUAAACAAAUCUGAUGUGUUCCUUAAAAUAUAUGAGUGUGUAAAAAAAUCGCAUAUGGUGAAUGUGUAGAAAAGAUAUGUGGCUAUUAUUGUAAGUAAAAAAUAAAGACAAUGUAAAAAUAAACAUGUGGCCUAAAAUGAAAC
RNAcentral lists this long non-coding RNA (11343 nucleotides) under Nicotiana tabacum (common tobacco). RNAcentral describes it as "long non-coding RNA (NTAB_LNC000342)". Lineage: Eukaryota; Viridiplantae; Streptophyta; Magnoliopsida; Solanales; Solanaceae. The record is from RNAcentral.